This 1645-nucleotide ribosomal RNA is filed under the name metagenome. RNAcentral describes it as "bacterial LSU rRNA". It matches the Rfam family "Bacterial large subunit ribosomal RNA", at positions 1210 to 2925 of the family's 2925-position model. The record is from RNAcentral.
GGGUUUCGACCCUUUCAUUUGGUAGGAGAGCGUAAUUCAUGCAGUGAAGCCUUACUGGAAAGGACGGUGGAGCGUGAAUUAGUGAGAAUGCAGACAUGAGUAGCGAUAAACCAGAUGAGAAUUCUUCGCCGUAAACCUAAGGUUUCCUGGGCAAGGUUCGUCCUCCCAGGGUUAGUCGGGAGCUAAGAUGAGGCCGUAAGGCGUAGUCGAUGCACAGCAGGUUAAUAUUCCUGCACCAACUAGGAUUAAGGACUGGAGUGAAGCAGAGAGGAAAGUGACUAGGCAAUCGAAUGCUGAGCCGAGGGGCAACCCGAAGCGUAUCACCGGACAAUCUGUCGAGAAAAGCUCCUUUUCGUUUCCCUAGGUGCCCGUACCGUAAACCGACACAGGUGGGUGGGUCGAGUAGACCAAGGCGCGCGAGAGAAACCUCUCUAAGGAACUCGGCAAAAUAGCCCCGUAACUUCGGGAGAAGGGGUACCCACUUCGGUGGGUCACAGUAAAUUGGGUUUAGCGACUGUUUAACAAAAACACAGCACUCUGCCAAGUUGUGAAAACAACGUAUAGGGUGUGACACGUGACCAAUGCGGAAAGAUCAAGGUGACUUGUUAGCCGCAAGGCGAAGCUCGGAGCCAAAGUCCCCGUGAAUGUCGGCCGUAACUAUAACGGUCCUAAGGUAGCGAAAUUCCUUGUCGGGUAAGUUCCGACCUGCACGAAUCGUGUAACGACUGAACCGCUGUCUCGGAGAGGAUCUCGGCGAAAUUGUAACGGCGGUGAAGAUGCCGCCUGCCCGCAGUAGGACGGAAAGACCCUAUGCACCUUUACUGUAAGCUGGUAUUGUGUUCUGAUUAAUGAUGCGUAGCGUAGGUGGGAGACUUUGAAGCCAUGGUUUCGGUUGUGGCUGAGUCGCAAUGUGAAACACCACUCUUUGUUAAUUAGGAUUCUAACCCUAUGCUGUUAGCCAGCUAGGGGACAGUGCCUGCGGGUCAGUUUGACUGGGGCGGUUUCCUCCCAAAGGGUAACGGAGGAGCGCUAAGGUACUCUCAGCAUGGUUUGCAACCAUGCGUCGAGCGUAUGGGUAGAAGAGUGCUUAACUGCGAGACCAACAAGUCGAGCAGAUACGAGAGUAGGCCCAAAUGAUCCGAUGGUUGAAUAUGGAAUUGCCAUCGCUCAACGGACAAAAGGUACGCUAGGGAUAACAGGCUGAUCGGAUCCAAGAGUUCAUAUCGACGAUCCGGUUUGGCACCUCGAUGUCGGCUCAUCGCAUCCUGGGGCUGGAGAAGGUCCCAAGGGUCCGGCUGUUCGCCGGUUAAAGCGGUACGCGAGCUGGGUUCAGAACGUCGUGAGACAGUUCGGUCCUUAUCCACUGUGGGCGCAGGAAACUUGAGGGGUUCAUUCUCUAGUACGAGAGGACCGAGAAUGACGCACUUCUGGUGUGGCAGUUGUUCCGUCAGGGGCAGCGCUGCGUAGCCAUGUGCGGAAGAGAUAAGCGCUGAAAGCAUCUAAGUGCCAAGCUCAUCCCAAGAUAUUGUUUCCCGGACGCAAGUCCCUAAAGACUCCAUGUAGACCACGUGGUUGAUAGGUCAGGCGUGUAAGUGCCGCAAGGUACUCAGCGGACUGAUACUAAUUAGUCGUGCGGCUUGAUCGC